RNAcentral lists this long non-coding RNA (586 nucleotides) under Gallus gallus (chicken). Lineage: Eukaryota; Metazoa; Chordata; Aves; Galliformes; Phasianidae. The record is from RNAcentral.
CUUCAAUAAAUGUGUAGGUGUUGCCUGGGAGGCAAGCCUAAUGGACUAGGGAAUUUAAGAAUGCUGGCAGUUCCUUAAAGGAGAAUAUUAAUAAGGCUCUCUCAUUGUAGAGUAGAGAUAAGAAGUCAGUAAGAUAUGAGUUUGGCUAAAUUACGAGCUUUUUAUUGACUUCAAGCACAGGAAGAGAGAAAGUAUAGAGAAAGUAGAAACUAGGUCGGACUGCUAAGAAGGAGAAUAAAGACGUUGCAAGAGCUCUCAGACCAAAUCAAAAAGGCCAGCAUAAAAUGAAAGAAGAAAUGCAGAGUUCUGAAGAACCACAGCUGAUCCCGUGACUUUUUUCACUCUCUGCUAUAUUUGAGCAAAUCAAAUCCUAGUAAAGAAGCGGUCAAAUUCAUUUGCAAGUGAGGUGCAUAUCCAAGCAUGUACUGAAGAAGUCCACAGAAGAGUAUGAGCAGGAAGGACAAGAAAAUAGCCUCCAUAUGGCCCACCAGACAAGAAGUCCACUGAGCUGAUUUCAUAGGAUUAUAGAAUGGCUUGGCUUGGAAGGGACCUCAGGGAUCAUCAUGUUCCAACGCCACUGCCACAG